Molecule: signal recognition particle RNA, 308 nt
Filed under: Candidatus Poseidoniales archaeon
Lineage: Archaea; Methanobacteriati; Thermoplasmatota; Candidatus Poseidoniia; Candidatus Poseidoniales
Description: signal recognition particle sRNA
Rfam family: Archaeal signal recognition particle RNA
Source: RNAcentral
AGUCGGGCUAGGAGGGGAGUUGGCGUUCCCUGUAUCACAAAUCGCAACUGGUGGUCCGAACGCCCGGGGGCGGCGCAAACGAGCCGUGGACGAAGCAACCGUGGACUAUGAGACCUCGCCCCCAAGUGACUCAGGUUGGUGUAAACGGAAUCCGGAGGGAGUCUGCUAGUACCGCAAGCCGGGGGAUAAGGCCAGGCCAGGAAUGGAGCAGCCCAACCCGGAGCCUAGGGUGCCUUGGGGACCCGGGGUUGAGAAGACGGAGGCAUUCUCGGACGCGGAUACGAGCACCCACCCUGGGCUCGCCCACU